Molecule: ribosomal RNA, 257 nt
Filed under: uncultured bacterium
Lineage: Bacteria
Description: partial 16S ribosomal RNA
Rfam family: Bacterial small subunit ribosomal RNA
Source: RNAcentral
UACGUAGGGUGCAAGCGUUGUCCGGAAUUAUUGGGCGUAAAGAGCGUGUAGGCGGCCAGGUAGGUCUGCUGUGAAAAACUCGAGGCUCAACCUCGAGACGUCGGCGGAAACCAUCUGGCUAGAGUCCGGAAGAGGAGAGGUGGAAUUCCCGGUGUAGCGGUGAAAUGCGCAGAUAUCGGGAAGAACACCCGUGGCGAAGGCGGCUCUCGUGGGACGGUACUGACGCUGAGACGCGAAAGCGUGGGGAGCGAACGAGG